CCUACGGGAUGCUGCAGUAGGGAAUAUUGCUCAAUGGGGGAAACCCUGAAGCAGCAACGCCGCGUGGAGGAUGAAGGUUUUAGGAUUGUAAACUCCUUUUGUUAGAGAAGAUAAUGACGGUAUCUAACGAAUAAGCACCGGCUAACUCCGUGCCAGCAGCCGCGGUAAUACGGAGGGUGCAAGCGUUACUCGGAAUCACUGGGCGUAAAGAGUGCGUAGGCGGGGUAAUAAGUCAGAUGUGAAAUCCUGUGGCUUAACUACAGAACUGCAUUUGAAACUGUUACUCUGGAGUGUGGGAGAGGUAGGUGGAAUUCUUGGUGGAGGGGUAAAAUCCGUAGAGAUCAAGAGGAAUACUCAUUGCGAAGGCGACCUGCUGGAACAUUACUGACGCUGAUGCACGAAAGCGUGGGGAGCAAACAGGAUUAGAUACCCCGGUAGUC
RNAcentral lists this ribosomal RNA (440 nucleotides) under uncultured bacterium. RNAcentral describes it as "partial 16S ribosomal RNA". It matches the Rfam family "Bacterial small subunit ribosomal RNA", at positions 338 to 795 of the family's 1533-position model. The record is from RNAcentral.